AGAGAUGUGUGAUGACGCAUAUCAAUAAGCGGAGGAAAAGAAACUAACAAGGAUUCCCUUAGUAACGGCGAGUGAAGCGGGAAGAGCUCAAAUUUGAAAUCUUCAAGGUUCUACCUUGACGAAUUGUAGUUUAUAGAAGUGUUUUCUGUUAGUAGGAGUGGCAAAAGUUCUUUGGAAUAGGACAUCAUAGAGGGUGAGAAUCCCGUAUUUGGUCAUUCUUCUAGCGUUGUGAUACACUUUCAACGAGUCGGAUUGUUUGGGAAUGCAGUCCAAAAUGGGUGGUAAAUUUCAUCUAAAGCUAAAUAUUGGCGAGAGACCGAUAGCGAACAAGUACCGUGAGGGAAAGAUGAAAAGAACUUUGAAAAGAGAGGUUAAACAGUACGUGAAAUUGUCAAAAGGGAAGCGUUUGACACCAGUGUUGUUUUUCCGAAAAUCAAUUACGAAUGUUUUGUUUUUAAGGAGUUAUGACUUCAUCGGCUUGCUUCUUUCUUUACGAAACUUUCUUAAUGCACUUUUCGGUUAACAAGUCAACAUCAAUUUCUUUUGUUGUAAAAGGGUAUGAGGAAGGUGGCUUUCUUUUCGGAGAAAGUGUUUAUAGCCUUGUACCUCUGCAAUCGGAGAGAUUGAGGUCUGCAGCGUAGAUCCUUCGGGGUUAGAUACAUUUGUGCUAAGUUAUAGCUUUUCAUAGACAACUUGUUGACUAUGUUUAGUCUUGUAGCUUACUCGCUUAUGCUAUUUUACCUACGCUUAGGAUGUUGAAGAUGUAGCACAUCAU
This 775-nucleotide ribosomal RNA is filed under the name uncultured Neocallimastigales. Its description in RNAcentral is "partial large subunit ribosomal RNA". It matches the Rfam family "Eukaryotic large subunit ribosomal RNA", at positions 23 to 643 of the family's 3401-position model. Lineage: Eukaryota; Fungi; Neocallimastigomycota; Neocallimastigomycetes; Neocallimastigales. The record is from RNAcentral.